RNAcentral lists this ribosomal RNA (497 nucleotides) under uncultured bacterium. RNAcentral describes it as "partial 16S ribosomal RNA". It matches the Rfam family "Bacterial small subunit ribosomal RNA", at positions 28 to 507 of the family's 1533-position model. The record is from RNAcentral.
GACGAACGCUGGCGGCGUGCCUAAUACAUGCAAGUUGAGCGCUGAAGGUUGGUACUUGUACCAACUGGAUGAGCAGCGAACGGGUGAGUAACGCGUGGGGAAUCUGCCUUUGAGCGGGGGACAACAUUUGGAAACGAAUGCUAAUACCGCAUAAAAACUUUAAACACAAGUUUUAAGUUUGAAAGAUGCAAUUGCAUCACUCAAAGAUGAUCCCGCGUUGUAUUAGCUAGUUGGUGAGGUAAAGGCUCACCAAGGCGAUGAUACAUAGCCGACCUGAGAGGGUGAUCGGCCACAGUGGGACUGAGACACGGCCCAAACUCCUACGGGAGGCAGCAGUAGGGAAUCUUCGGCAAUGGACGAAAGUCUGACCGGGCAACGCCGCGUGAGUGCAGAAGGUUGUCGGAUCGUAAAACUCUGUUGGUAGAGAAGAACGUUGGUGAGAGUGGAAAGCUCAUCAAGUGACGGUAACUACCCAGAAAGGGACGGCUAACUACGUG